CUCAUCUCGUAUGCUGUUCAGAACUUCUGGUGAAAUCCCAUGAUUCACAACUACAAAGAAACCCCACUGGCUUGCAGCUUCAGCAAUCUUGUUCGUACACUUGUCUCUGUUUAUGUCUUCAUAAUCCAGAUGGCUAAGAUCGAUCACAGGCUCCUUGGAAUGGAGGUUCGAAAUCCAUGAGAGAUGUCGACACAAAUUUGAAAGGUAGAAGUAAUUUUCAAGAUCUGUACCAACAUAUAUAUGAAUAUGAAAAAUGAAGUAUCCGGAGUUAAUGCAGAUCGAAACUGUUGAAAGCCAGAUCAAUUCAAAUAAUGAUUCCUUAAGUUUGAGCUUAAUUGUUGGAAAUCCAUCUGACGAGCAAUAAAUUUAGCAACGAAUUGUAUAAGCUUUUUAACUGCAUAUCCCUUCACUGGGGCGAUUGUAUCGCCUCUACAACCUUUCUUUCCCUUUCUUUGUUUCUUGAAAACAAAGAAUCAGGAAUUACUUGUUUACACUCUACAGUGAUCUAUGAAAAACAAAUGUUAUGGAGUCAUUCCACCCAA
Argentina anserina (silverweed cinquefoil) is the source of this 542-nucleotide long non-coding RNA. RefSeq lists it as uncharacterized. The record is from RefSeq and is a predicted model, not a curated record. The transcript has 2 exons. NCBI's taxonomy places the organism in Eukaryota, Viridiplantae, Streptophyta, Magnoliopsida, Rosales, Rosaceae.